This 823-nucleotide long non-coding RNA is filed under the name Canis lupus familiaris (dog). RNAcentral's name for it is "lncRNA (ENSCAFG00040025074.1)". The record is from RNAcentral. Lineage: Eukaryota; Metazoa; Chordata; Mammalia; Carnivora; Canidae.
UCCACCUCUGGGGCCUGAAUAUGUGUGCACGCUGAAUUCUGCUACCACUGGAUCCCGCUUUUGGUUCCUGCUCGUUGUCCAGCUAUGUGUGGGAUAGAAUCACAUCUGAGAAGCAGGCUUUACCCACCUGUGGCAACCCGAGUCGUGUACAUCCUGGCACUGCUGGCUAGAACCUGCAGAGCUGUCUUCACCUGAUGACACACACCUGUUCUUGGCACCAUUAGGCCCCACAAAGAAACCAGAAAAUAAAGCUGUCAACAACAAACUCUCUUCCAGCAAGAUGGAAGUGCAUAAACCUCAGAGAUGUUCGAAGGCCUUUCUUCUUUUCUUGCUGGGAAAAGCUCUCCUCUCACCAGGAAGGUUGUGGAUGGUGCCAAUCGGGAGUGAUGAUCAUCACAGAUGGGCAGGCCUUGAACCUCCACAUCUGGAGGUCAAACUGGACCAAAGGUCGAGGAGCCAGGAGGCACACAGGCUCCCAAAUGAGCUUGGACAUGAGCACCAGGCCCUAGAAAUUUCUAGACAAUCACUAGAAGGUAGGGGCCAGAAGAGUCAUACAAAUGGAUUAUCAGAGGGAUCCCUGGGUGGCGCAGCGGUUUGGCGCCUGCCUUUGGCCCAGGGCGCGAUCCUGGAGACCCGGGAUCAAAUCCCACAUCAGGGGAUCCCUGGGUGGCGCAGCGGUUUGGCGCCUGCCUUUGGCCCAGGGCGCGAUCCUGGAGACCCGGGAUCGAAUCCCACAUGGGGCUCCCGGUGCAUGGAGCCUGCUUCUCCCUCUGCCUGUGUCUCUGCGCCUCUCUCUCUCUCUGUGACUAUCAUAAAUAAAUAA